RNAcentral lists this transfer RNA (71 nucleotides) under Marmota monax (woodchuck). It matches the Rfam family "tRNA". Rfam says of the family: Transfer RNA (tRNA) molecules are approximately 80 nucleotides in length. Their secondary structure includes four short double-helical elements and three loops (D, anti-codon, and T loops). Lineage: Eukaryota; Metazoa; Chordata; Mammalia; Rodentia; Sciuridae. The record is from Rfam by way of RNAcentral.
GGGGUUGUGACUCAGUGGCAGAGUGCUUGCCUCAAAUAUGUGAGGCACUGGGUUCAAUCCUCAGCACCCCA